Small nucleolar RNA from Notolabrus celidotus (New Zealand spotty), 137 nucleotides. RefSeq annotates it as small nucleolar RNA SNORA5. The transcript has a single exon. Lineage: Eukaryota; Metazoa; Chordata; Actinopteri; Labriformes; Labridae. The record is from RefSeq and is a predicted model, not a curated record.
UGCAGUCUUGUCAAAUUCAGUGUUUCCUCUUCAUGGAUGUCACUGGCCAAAAUGGCUGCCACAGUGAGCGUGUAGUUCAUGGGCCUCAGUGGUGCUUCAUCAUCACCACAGAGGAUAAAUAUGUACUACACACAAAC